ACAUGCAGUCGAGGGGCAGCAUUUUAGUUUGCUUGCAAACUAAAGAUGGCGACCGGCGCACGGGUGAGUAACACGUAUCCAACCUGCCGAUAACUCGGGGAUAGCCUUUCGAAAGAAAGAUUAAUAUCCGAUAGUAUAUUAAAACCGCAUGGUUUUACUAUUAAAGAAUUUCGGUUAUCGAUGGGGAUGCGUUCCAUUAGUUUGUUGGCGGGGUAACGGCCCACCAAGACUACGAUGGAUAGGGGUUCUGAGAGGAAGGUCCCCCACAUUGGAACUGAGACACGGUCCAAACUCCUACGGGAGGCAGCAGUGAGGAAUAUUGGUCAAUGGACGAGAGUCUGAACCAGCCAAGUAGCGUGAAGGAUGACUGCCCUAUGGGUUGUAAACUUCUUUUAUAUGGGAAUAAAGUAUUCCACGUGUGGGAUUUUGUAUGUACCAUAUGAAUAAGGAUCGGCUAACUCCGUGCCAGCAGCCGCGGUAAUACGGAGGAUCCGAGCGUUAUCCGGAUUUAUUGGGUUUAAAGGGAGCGUAGGUGGAUUGUUAAGUCAGUUGUGAAAGUUUGCGGCUCAACCGUAAAAUUGCAGUUGAAACUGGCAGUCUUGAGUACAGUAGAGGUGGGCGGAAUUCGUGGUGUAGCGGUGAAAUGCUUAGAUAUCACGAAGAACUCCGAUUGCGAAGGCAGCUCACUAGACUGCAACUGACACUGAUGCUCGAAAGUGUGGGUAUCAAACAGGAUUAGAUACCCUGGUAGUCCACACAGUAAACGAUGAAUACUCGCUGUUUGCGAUAUACAGUAAGCGGCCAAGCGAAAGCAUUAAGUAUUCCACCUGGGGAGUACGCCGGCAACGGUGAAACUCAAAGGAAUUGACGGGGGCCCGCACAAGCGGAGGAACAUGUGG
This 899-nucleotide ribosomal RNA is filed under the name uncultured bacterium. Its description in RNAcentral is "bacterial SSU rRNA". It matches the Rfam family "Bacterial small subunit ribosomal RNA", at positions 53 to 944 of the family's 1533-position model. The record is from RNAcentral.